Microcebus murinus (gray mouse lemur) is the source of this 5428-nucleotide non-coding RNA. Lineage: Eukaryota; Metazoa; Chordata; Mammalia; Primates; Cheirogaleidae. The record is from RefSeq and is a predicted model, not a curated record.
GCAGCUGUGAGUGUCCUCUGCGUGCUAUCGGCCUCCCUGUCCCACCCACGCCCCGCGACGGUGCCCUGGCUGGCCUGCCCUGGGGCCCAGACUGCCAGGCUGCCUCCGAGCCCAGGCCUCCCUUCCUCCUGCCGUUUUUAUGGGCAACACUCUUGCUGAGGACCCAGCAGGGAUCGGCCUGCAGCGGGCUCCCACCCCAGGACCCCCCCGCACGGCCUGGCGUGCGGCUGCUUGGACGUGCCCGGGCCGCCUGAGCCGGACACGCGGGCACCAGAGGAGCCAAGCGUGUGCUCUUUGGUGCUGUUCUGUGGGUUUUUAAAAGUAAACAGCACGUGGCACCUACUACGUGCCAUGAACCGUUACCAGCGCUUCACACACACAAACGGGUGGUGUCAACCACCCGCAAAUCCAGAAUAUUCCGGAAAGAAAUAAUUAAAAAAUAACAACGCAACAGUGAAAAAUAAUGCGGACGAAAAAGCAACACAGUACAACUAUUUACACAGCAGCGACACCGUCUCGGGUGUCACGAGGUACCCGGGGAUGACGUGAGGUGCGCAGGUUAGCGUGUGGGUUGCGUGCAGACACGCACCAUGUCAUAGCAGGCACUCGAGCACCCGUGGGGGUUUGUUCCCAGAACCCAUCCCCUGUGGAUCGGUGGGACAGCCGCGAUACGCAUUCACACACACGCACACGCACAGGCGUGCACUUCAUUCUCAUGGCGGAAACCUGAGAGGCAAGUGUGACUGGUCCCGUCUUACAGAUGAGGGAGCCGGGGAGUGAAGUGACUGGUGCAGGGUCACGCGGCAGGCAGGAGGCACGGCCAGGGCUGAGACGCAGGCCGUGCGGCUCUCACGUCCAGGAACUUUGCUUUCCAGCUCUGCAGCCCGCUCGAUCCCUGCUCCAACACCCAGGAGCCCCGUCAGAAUCCCCAGAUGACAGUGAAGUGGUGCGGUCCCGCUGCUCCACCACCUGCCCCACGCAUAUCAAGACUCUGCGACCUGGAAUGCCCGUUUGCAUUAGAGAUGAAUGGCAGCCAGAGGCGGCGAGGACUGGGGACAACAGAACAGAGCCUACCGGUGCAGUUGCACGCGGUGGAGACAGCGCAGCAUGGGCCAGCCAGCCCGGCGCAGGGGUGCUACCCUGGGUAAGCCGAGCGCCCCAAGCACCCCAUCCUUAUCUGCAAGCUGGGGUGGGGGAAAUGCCUUCCUCAUACCGUUGUGGAGACAUUUAAAGAAAAUAACAGUGUACAUGAAACGUGAGUGCAGUGCCUGGCACGUAGCAAGCACAGGCUGAGUUUGAACGACACUGGUCACCUGUGGAAGCCACCUGUGCCAGCGUGCGAGGCCAUUCCUCCAGGGACCACACCUGGCGGCCUCCUCUCCACCUGGCACCGCCUCUUUCCUCUACGUGCCCUCCUCAGAAAACAGGCUGCGGUGAGCCGGAUGGUGCCCCCAAGAGACACGUGCACACCCUAGUCCCUGGGGCCUGUGAGUGUGACCUGUUUUAGAAACAGGGUCUUUGCAGGCAUAACUAAGCUACGGAUCUCGAGACCAUCCUAGGUCACCCAGGUUGGCCCUGAAUUCGACGACAAGCCUCCUUAGAAAACACAGAGAAGGAAGAGGAGGAGACGGGGACAAGGCGGGCACACGCACACACCUGCGCAGACGCAGGCAGAGCCAGAGUGAGGCCACCACAAGCCAGGGCAGCGGUGGCCAGCAGGCAGAGGGCCGACCCGCCCCGGCCUGCGCCGUGGGGGAGCGCGCCCCGCCAACACCCCCACUGCAGACUUCUGGCCCCACACUGGGAGAGAGCACGUUUUUGUGGUUUUAGGCCACCAAGUCCGUGUUCAUUUGUCACAGCAGCCACUGGACACGGAUACUCGUGCUAAGGAUCGUCACCCCUAAACAUGGAGCACUCAGUGAAACGCUGAUCCUCCUUCCCAAAGCGGCGCCACACGUCUCUGCCAGCUCCGCGGCGGCUCCGUGGCAGGUGUCUCCAGCCUUGCAGACCCGAGGGCCUUCCCCUCACGCUCAGAAGCUCACCCACCCUCCCUGCUCUCCACCUCAGGCCUGCAGUCUGCUCUGCCUCCCAGCUGCACCCCCGGCCCUACCCCCAGCUCCUGAUUUCCUGCGCCCUCUCGACUCCAGGCCCAACGCGGGCCCCCUAUUGCACAAGUUCAAGUCCCAGCCCUGCGGCUGCCCACUCACGACAGAUGCACGCCCGUCUCACAGCCCCCAACGUGGCAGGAGGCCCCUUCUUCCCACCUCCCAUGGCCUGUGGCACCCCCCGGCUCUGCCUACCUCUGGUCUGCACCCUGCUCACUCCCUGGGCCCUGCUGAAGCUCUAACUCACCCUGGUCUGCCAACCUCAGCUACCUUCCGCAAGGUGCUGUCCUCGGGUACCCGGGAUUUACUACCUUUAAAUCCAGGACCCAUGGAACAGGAGCUUGAUUUUCAACAUGUAUUUUAAACACAUCGUUCUCUAGUUACUUAAUUUAUGCAAGUCUUGUCUCCCCAGCCAAACUGGUUGCUUCUUGGGGCAGGGACCGAGUGAGUCUUCUAUCUCUUUCGAAUCCUUCUAAGCAUUAAGUGUCUGCUAGGCCAAGACCUCCUGUGACCCGAAGCACGUGGCACCUCUGUCCUGGGCCCCUCAGCAAAGCUUCCAUGAUGGAGGAGACAUUUCGGAAAAGAGCAUGAUCUCGACUCCCAGAGAAAUCAGACUCAAGGUCUCAUCUCUCAGAUAAACGUCUACGCGGGCUGCUGAUUCAGAAAGUCUGUCUGGAUUCUACUAGUAGGAAACACACUGUAUUAUUCCCCAAGAAUGAGAGUGUUAAAGAGACAUUUCCCCCACCAAUUAACUACCGUUUGCAGCAUAAUAACAGGAUUCGGGAUGAAAACCUGAGGAUGGGUGGAUAAAAAUAGAUGCCACAUCGACCAAUGGCACUGUGCGGCUGUUUAAAGCACAGCGUCUAGGACGCAAAGCAUAAUGCUUAUGACAGAUACGCGGAGGAUUAGAGAAGCCCAAUCUAGACUAGACGGUGGAAGAAGGCUAAAUGGUUUCCAUAAUGCAAAAUAAAAUGACAGUACUAGUCAUUGUGCCAAUUGCAUCCCCACCAUUGUGUCUUCCGGUCUUUACCACAGCCUGCCAGGCGGGUUCUCAGCAACUCAAACCUGAGGCUGUCCAGACAUCCCCGGCAGACUGGAGCAGCUGGGCGGGGCUGCGCACCUUUGCCAGGUAUAAAGGGAUCGAGAGGUAAGGACAGAAGCAGGGUCCUCAGGACAGCUUAGAGGUGAACAGGUAAGAAUGCCACUCCCACUGCCACCGCCCAUCUCUCAUCCUAACCCCACACUGUGUUUACUGAGGUCCUAGUUCAAGCCCAGGAUCCUGCAAGGGAAAAGAGAGAGAAAACGGAAGAUCAGCACACGGCUGCCGGCCUUCUCGGUUUGAACAACAGAGUGACUGAGUUACAAAGGGGUCGUGCAUGCAUCUGUGCAUCCACGGGUCCGUUCCACAGGUAUUUCCCCGAGAGCCUCCUAGGGGCUGGGUCAUAUUGAGGGCCCAGAGAAAAUGGUCCUCGCUGGGACAGCCCUACGCCCGUCUAUCUAUUCCACCUGCUCCACCGCAAUGGCCUGUCCUAGGCACAUCCAGGAACAGUCUGUGUCCUCCAGUAGGGCAGAAGGAGAGUCAAAAGAAUCCAGCAUGUUCCAUUAAAAAUAUUUACCUGGUAAAAACUAACCAGAACAACAACAACAAAUUACGAACCUGUCUCUUGGCUAUGACAAAUCAGAACGGAGGGCCUGGCCCUCUGCACGUGCCACCCAUCCCCUGCCCGGCAGCCUCAAAGAGGCCGUUAGGUGAGAGCAGCUGGGGGAGGCAGGCGGCUGCCCCGCCCCUGCAGCCAGAAAGCCAGCCCACAGUGUCCCUGCACCUGGACUGCCGCCAGGAGCUGGCACUUCUGAGCAACACCCCUCCGGAAGGCUGCCCUCGUGUCUCUGCCCCUGCCCCGUCUGGAGCUUGUUAUAAUCUAAUGUCACCAGGUGUGUGUGGGGAAGGGCCAGUGCAGCCUUUGGUUGUGCCCCUGGCCCACAUCCCUGCUGGCUAACCCGUGCGAGGUCCCCGAACUUCCUUUCAAAGCAAGUUUACUUUCGUAAAGCCCUUCCUAUGUUUUAAUGAAGCCACAUAAAUCAAUUCAUUUGUUCUUCCCAAUAAUCCCUCCAGACAGGUAUUAUCUUUUAUUACCUCCUUUCUACAGAUAAGGUGACUGAGGCAGAGGGAGGUCCAGUAACUUGUCCAAAGUCAAAGUCACACAGUUCCUUUGUGGGGUGGCCAGGGUUUGACUCCAGGGGGUGUCCCCUCCAGGGUCUUUCUCUUAGCCUCUGUGCCACACUGGCUCAGGGGCCCACCAUUCUCUAGUGCUCCUCAGGUCCCUCCCAAGCCCAGAGCCAGGCUGCCUGCGAGGCCAGGAGACAGAGGAGGAGGGCAGGGAACCGCCGUCCUCCUCGGACUCGGGCUCUCCUCGCGGCUGCUCCGGAAGGGAGGUGAGCCCUGGCUACCUGAGACACCCAGACUAUUAUUAAACUUGCACUUCCUGAGUGGGGUGAGACUAAUAUAGCAGUGGACGAGCAGCCCGGGGGCCCCAGUGUCCUGGGAGGGAGAGGCUGGCGGCACAGGAGCAGCAGAGAAAGGCCCGUGGCCAGGCAAAGCUCCGUCUCAGCGGGGAAGGGGUUCCGGGGACCUCUUCAUACCUUCUCUGGGGCUUGGGGUGGCCUAAGUUCUCCUCGGGGCAGAUCUUGACUUAUUUUCUCAAGGCCCUUAGUGCAAAAUUCCUACCUAAAAGGAUGACGAGAAAUCGAGCUAAUACCAAACUUCUGCAAACAGCGGUGAUGGGUAUCUCUUUCCUGGGGGUCUAGCGUGGUCAAAUGAGCUUCUUUAACAAAGCCGCAGUCAGAACCCCCAGCAGGGGGUCUAGAUCCAUUCCUGGAGGCCCACGCACAGCCAGAAGACCGGAAGACAGGCUGUCCGCUGGUACACGGGGCAGCGGAGAGCCGCACCUGGGCCAUUCGUUCCCGAGGCCCUCGGGCCUCCCAGAGGAGACACUCGGCUCCCGUGGGCGGACCGUGGCCCUGCUUUGUCCCUGGGAUUAGGAGAAAUGGGGGUGAACCCUGGGCCGCAGUGAGGGUGGGUCUCUUCCCUUUUUCCUUCCAGGAAGUUGCAGCUGUACAAACUCUCUCCAGGCACCCCAAAUCAGACAGCCAGGGGCAAAGACAAAUGAGCAGUCCGAAGUGUCCUUGAGGAAACACGGCGCGUGGGCAGAGUGCUGGGACCCUUCUGGUCUCCCAACCAGGCCACCCCUCCUCCUCCCUGUGCGGCCUGACUGGGGAGGCCCGGCUGGGAGCCCUGCUCCGCCACUUGACGCUGCCUCGCCUAC